GAGGAGUCCGCGGCCGAUUAGCUAGUUGGUAGGGUAAAAGCCUACCAAGGCUACGAUCGGUAGCCGGCCUGAGAGGGCACACGGCCACACUGGCACUGAAACACGGGCCAGACUCCUACGGGAGGCAGCAGUGGGGAAUCUUGCACAAUGGGGGCAACCCUGAUGCAGCGACGCCGCGUGAACGAUGAAGCCCUUCGGGGUGUAAAGUUCUUUCGGCAGGGAAGAUUAUGACGGUACCUGCAGAAGCAGCUGCGGCUAACUACGUGCCAGCAGCCGCGGUAAUACGUAGGCAGCAAGCGUUGUUCGGAGUUACUGGGCGUAAAGGGUGUGUAGGCGGUCUUCUAAGUUUGGUGUGAAAUCUCCCGGCUCAACUGGGAGGGUGCGCCGAAAACUGGAAGGCUAGAGUGCGGGAUGGGAGAGUGGAAUUCCUGGUGUAGCGGUGAAAUGCGUAGAUAUCAGGAGG
Molecule: ribosomal RNA, 463 nt
Filed under: uncultured Acidobacteriota bacterium
Lineage: Bacteria; Pseudomonadati; Acidobacteriota
Description: bacterial SSU rRNA
Rfam family: Bacterial small subunit ribosomal RNA
Source: RNAcentral